UGAUAUUGCAACAUUUUAUUUUUUCCAACACACACACACAUACACACACACAUACACACACACACACACACACACACACAGAGACAUCCAUUAAAACUCUGUGAUGAUAAUCCUAGUAGCAGAUCAUCCCUCUAAUUUAAGUGACACAAUGCACAAUAAUGGCAGCAAUGAGAAACAAGCCUGACUGGACUGAUGCACACUGAGCAACAGAGAACUGUGAAAUGUGUACAGUACCCGACGAGUAACGUCUGUGUUUUGUCUGUCAGUAGCUGUGACAGCCAGUCAUAUAGUACCCGACGAGUAACGUCUGUGUUUUGUCUGUCAGUAGCUGUGACAGCCAGUCAUAUAGUACCCGACGAGUAACGUCUGUGUUUUGUCUGUCAGUAGCUGUGGCAGCCAGUCAUAUAGUACCCGACGAGUAACGUCUGUGUUUUGUCUGUCAGUAGCUGUGACAGCCAGUCAUAUAGUACCCAACGAGUAACGUCUGUGUUUUGUCUGUCAGUAGCUGUGACAGCCAGUCAUAUAGUACCCGACGAGUAACGUCUGUGUUUUGUCUGUCAGUAGCUGUGGCAGCCAGUCAUAUAGUACCCGACGAGUAACGUCUGUGUUUUGUCUGUCAGUAGCUGUGACAGCCAGUCAUAUACAGUACCCGACGAGUAACGUCUGUGUUUUGUCUGUCAGUAGCUGUGACAGCCAGUCAUAUAGUACCCGACGAGUAACGUCUGUGUUUUGUCUGUCAGUAGCUGUGACAGCCAGUCAUAUAGUACCCAACGAGUAACGUCUGUGUUUCCCUCCCUGGUUCCAGCCAGUCAUACAGUACCCGACGAGUAACGUCUGUGUUUUGUCUGUCAGUAGCUGUGACAGCCAGUCAUAUAGUACCCAACGAGUAACGUCUGUGUUUCCCUCCCUGGUUCCAGCCAGUCAUACAGUACCCGACGAGUAACGUCUGUGUUUUGUCUGUCAGUAGCUGUGACAGCCAGUCAUAUAGUACCCCACGAGUAACGUCUGUGUUUUGUCUGUCAGUAGCUGUGACAGCCAGUCAUAUAGAACCCGACGAGUAACGUCUGUGUUUUGUCUGUCAGUAGCUGUGACAGCCAGUCAUAUAGUACCCGACGAGUAACGUCUGUGUUUUGUCUGCCAGUAGCUGUGACAGCCAGUCAUAUAGUACCCGACGAGUAACGUCUGUGUUUCCCUCCCUGGUUCCAGCCAGUCAUAUACAGUACCCGACGAGUAACGUCUGUGUUUUGUCUGUCAGUAGCUGUGACAGCCAGUCAUAUAGUACCCGACGAGUAACGUCUGUGUUUUGUCUGUCAGUAGCUGUGACAGCCAGUCAUAUAGUACCCGACGAGUAACGUCUGUGUUUUGUCUGUCAGUAGCUGUGACAGCCAGUCAUAUAGUACCCGACGAGUAACGUCUGUGUUUCCCUCCCUGGUUCCAGCCAGUCAUACAGUACCCGACCCUCCACACACUGGCUUUCUGCCUGCAUCCCAAAUGGCACCCUAUUCUCUAGGGCAGUGUUUGCCAACUCCGGUCCUCCAGUACUCCCAACAGCCCAACUCCGGUCCUCCAGUACCUCCAACAGCCCAACUCCAGUCCUCCAGUCCUCCCAACAGUGUUUUCCAACUCCAGUCCUCCCAACAGCCCAACUCCAGUCCCCCAACAGCCCAACUCCAGGCCUCCAGUCCUCCCAACAGUGUUUUCCAACUCCAGUCCUCCAGUACUCACAACAGCCCAACUCCAGUCCUCCAGUACCCCCAACAGCCCAACUCCGGUCCUCCAGUGUCCCCAAAAGUGUUUCCCAACUCCGGAUAGAAUAACCUCAACUAGGCUCUUCUGGCUCAUGUUACGCUCACUGACACACUCCAGUUACACAAUGAGUGGGUGGUACAUGGAGAAACAGAGUUGUUCCAGAAUGAGUACAUGGAGAAACAGAGUUGUUCCAGAAUGAGUACGUAGUACAUGGAGAAACAGAGUUGUUCCAGAAUGAGUACAUGGAGAAACAGAGUUGUUCCAGAAUGAAUACAUGGAGAAACACAGUUGUUCCAGAAUGAGUACAUGGAGAAACAGAGUUGUUCCAGAAUGAGUACAUGGAGAAACAGAGUUGUUCCAGAAUGAGUACAUGGAGAAACA
Oncorhynchus tshawytscha (Chinook salmon) is the source of this 2130-nucleotide long non-coding RNA. The record is from Ensembl. NCBI's taxonomy places the organism in Eukaryota, Metazoa, Chordata, Actinopteri, Salmoniformes, Salmonidae.